GACGAACGCUGGCGGCGUGCUUAACACAUGCAAGUCGAACGGAAAGGCCCUGCUUUUGUGGGGUGCUCGAGUGGCGAACGGGUGAGUAACACGUGAGUAACCUGCCCUUGACUUUGGGAUAACUUCAGGAAACUGGGGCUAAUACCGGAUAGGAGCUCCUGCUGCAUGGUGGGGGUUGGAAAGUUUCGGCGGUUGGGGAUGGACUCGCGGCUUAUCAGCUUGUUGGUGGGGUAGUGGCUUACCAAGGCUUUGACGGGUAGCCGGCCUGAGAGGGUGACCGGCCAACGUGGGACUGAGAUACGGCCCAGACUCCUACGGGAGGCAGGUGUGGGGAAUAUUGCACAAUGGGCGGAAGCCGGAUGCAGCAACGCCGCGUGCGGGAUGACGGCCUUCGGGUUGUAAACCGCUUUCGCCUGUGACGAAGCGUGAGUGACGGUAAUGGGUAAAGAAGCACCGGCUAACUACGUG
Molecule: ribosomal RNA, 468 nt
Filed under: uncultured bacterium
Lineage: Bacteria
Description: partial 16S ribosomal RNA
Rfam family: Bacterial small subunit ribosomal RNA
Source: RNAcentral